AGAACGAACGCUGGCGGCAUGCCUAAUACAUGCAAGUCGAACGAACUCUUCGGAGUUAGUGGCGCACGGGUGCGUAACGCGUGGGAAUCUGCCCCUUGGUUCGGAAUAACAGUUGGAAACGACUGCUAAUACCGGAUGAUGACGAAAGUCCGAAGAUUUAUCGCCAAGGGAUGAGCCCGCGUAGGAUUAGCUAGUUGUGAGGUAA
This 205-nucleotide ribosomal RNA is filed under the name uncultured soil bacterium. RNAcentral's name for it is "partial 16S ribosomal RNA". It matches the Rfam family "Bacterial small subunit ribosomal RNA", at positions 26 to 260 of the family's 1533-position model. The record is from RNAcentral.